GCCCCUGUAGCUCAGGUGGAUAGAGCACCAGCCUCCGGAGCUGGGAGCGCGCGUUCGAGUCGCGCCAGGGGUA
Molecule: transfer RNA, 73 nt
Filed under: Dehalococcoidales bacterium
Lineage: Bacteria; Bacillati; Chloroflexota; Dehalococcoidia; Dehalococcoidales
Also listed under: 2 other names
Description: tRNA-Arg
Rfam family: tRNA
About the family: Transfer RNA (tRNA) molecules are approximately 80 nucleotides in length.
Source: RNAcentral